GAUAAAGACACAGAGUGCCUUCACUGUACUGAUGGAACAUUCUCAGAUGGCACAUCAUCGUCUUGUCAGAACCACACAAAAUGUGAAUCUGUGGGACUGAAUCUGAUGAAACAAGGAACUGCUUCAACUGAUUUUGAAUGUGGAGAACAUGGUCCAAAGACACGACUAAUGGCAGGAGUAAUACCAGGAGUCAUACUGGUAAUGGCUUUAAUGGCUCUAAUCAUAGCCAUUAUUCUGAAGAAGAAAAUGAGAGAAUCAACUCCGCAAUCAAAGAUCGAAAUACAGAGCAAGGAGAUGAGCCAAGUCUACCGUCCAACAGAAACUAAACCCCUAAAGUCCAUUGACGGUCCUGAACCAACCAGGGACCAAAAAGAAUGUACCAUUACCAUCCCUGAUGGAACUAUGGAUGAUCAAGAUGACGACCAGAGUCUGGAUCCAGCCCCACCCUCAAGCCCCACACAAGAUGGAUCUGUCUCACUCCCAGUUCACCCCCCUCAGCCUGGGUCCCCCCUCCCCC
Molecule: long non-coding RNA, 517 nt
Organism: Gadus chalcogrammus (walleye pollock)
Lineage: Eukaryota; Metazoa; Chordata; Actinopteri; Gadiformes; Gadidae
Exons: 5
Source: RefSeq, a predicted model, not a curated record